RNAcentral lists this ribosomal RNA (451 nucleotides) under uncultured bacterium. Its description in RNAcentral is "partial 16S ribosomal RNA". It matches the Rfam family "Bacterial small subunit ribosomal RNA", at positions 29 to 523 of the family's 1533-position model. The record is from RNAcentral.
AGCGAACGCUGGCGGCAUGCUUAACACAUGCAAGUCGCACGAAGGUUUCGGCCUUAGUGGCGGACGGGUGAGUAACGCGUAGGAAUCUAUCCAUGGGUGGGGGAUAACACUGGGAAACUGGUGCUAAUACCGCAUGGUACCUGAGGGUCAAAGGCGCAAGUCGGCUGUGGAGGAGCCUGCGUUCGAUUAGCCAGUUGGUGGGGUAAAGGCCUACCAAGGCGAUGAUCGAUUGCUGGUUUGAGAGGAUGAUCAGCCACAAUUGGACUUAGACCCGGCCCAGACUCCUACGGGAGGCAGCAGUGGGGAAUAUUGGACAAUGGGGGCAACCCUGAUCCAGCAAUGCCGCGUGUGGGAAGAAGGUCUUCGGAUUGUAAAGCACUUUCGACGGGGACGAUGAUGACGGUACCCGUAGAAGAAGCCCCGGCUAACUUCGUGCCAGCCGCCGCGGUAA